Molecule: non-coding RNA, 277 nt
Filed under: Carlito syrichta (Philippine tarsier)
Lineage: Eukaryota; Metazoa; Chordata; Mammalia; Primates; Tarsiidae
Source: RNAcentral
GUUGGGUGUGGUGACAUGUGUCUGAUGUCCCAGCCAUUCAGGAGGCUGAAGUGGAAGGAUCACUUGAGCCCUAGAGUUCUGAACUAUGCCAUUCAGGUGUCCACACUAAGUUUUGCAUCAAUAUAGUGACUUCCAGGCACGAGAGACCACCAGAUUACCUAAGAAGGGGCGAAUUAGCCCGGGUUGGAAAUGGAGCAUUUCAAAACUGAUUAAUGGGGGAUUGCGCCUGUGAAUAGCUACGACACUCCAGCCUGGGCAAGAUAGUGAGACCAUGUCU